GACGAACGCUGGCGGCGUGCUUAACACAUGCAAGUCGAACGGAAAGGCCCUGCUUUUGUUGGGUGCUCGAGUGGCGAAGAGGUGAGUAACACGUGAGUAACCUGCCCUUGACUUUGGGAUAACAUCAGGAAACUGGGGCUAAUACCGGAUAUGAUCUCCUGCUGCAUGUUGUUGGUUGGAAAGUUUCGGCGGUUCGGGAUGGACUCGCGGCUUAUCGGCUUGUUGGGGUGGUAGUGGCUUACCAAGGCUUUGACGGGUAGCCGGCCUGAGAGCGUGACCGGCCACAUUGGGACUGAGAUAGGGCCCAGAAUCCUACGGGAGGCAGCAGUGGGGAGUAUUGCGCAAUGGGCGGAAGCCUGAUGCAGCAACGCCGCGUGCGGGAUAACGGCCUUCGGGUUAUAAACAGAUUUCGAAUGUGACGAGGAGUGCGUGACGGUAAUGGGUAAAAAAGCACCGGCUAACUACGUG
This 468-nucleotide ribosomal RNA is filed under the name uncultured bacterium. Its description in RNAcentral is "partial 16S ribosomal RNA". It matches the Rfam family "Bacterial small subunit ribosomal RNA", at positions 28 to 507 of the family's 1533-position model. The record is from RNAcentral.